GUGCUAAGGUAGCAUAAUCAUUUGCUAUUUAAUUGGUAGCUGGAAUGAAAGGUUAAACUAGCUUACUCAGUUUGUUGUGUUUUGUAAGAAAUUAAAGUCGAGGUAAGAAUUCUUUGAUCUGCUAGGGGACGAUAAGACCCUAGAAGCUUAACAAUAAGAGUAUUUAUUAGUUAUAAAAAUUAAUUUGUUUUACUGGGGCGGUAAAGGUAUAUAAACUAUUAGUGUAUUGAUAGAUCCUUAAAAUAAAGAUAAAACGGGAAAGUUACUCUAGGGGUAACAGUGCAAUAUUUUUGGAGAGAUCAUAUCGAUAAAAAUGUUUGCAACCUCGAUGUUGAAUUAAGAUGUCUACGUGAAGCAGCAGGUACGUGAGAGGGUUUGUUCAACCUUU
Molecule: ribosomal RNA, 388 nt
Filed under: Gammarus sp. lacustris-type MS03
Lineage: Eukaryota; Metazoa; Arthropoda; Malacostraca; Amphipoda; Gammaridae
Description: partial 16S ribosomal RNA
Rfam family: Bacterial large subunit ribosomal RNA
Source: RNAcentral